Molecule: unclassified non-coding RNA, 382 nt
Filed under: Hevea brasiliensis (rubber tree)
Lineage: Eukaryota; Viridiplantae; Streptophyta; Magnoliopsida; Malpighiales; Euphorbiaceae
Source: RNAcentral
UUUUUUUUUUUUUUUAGAAAAAAAUUUACUAGUAUCUUCCAAAAUGCAUAUGGACACAGUCUCAAGCAAUCUGAAGCAAAUAAAAUUGGCAAUUUUCUAACAGAAGCACACCAUAGUCUCUACUAAUUGCCCCAUAAUUAUCAAAAAACACAAUUCAUUUUCAUCCUAACGAAGGCGUCCAUUCAUAGAUUUGUGUAAUUCUUGUAACUGCAACGCUGUUGUAUCAUCCCUCAUUAUCAUAACCUCCCCAGUUUGCGCAAAUCCUGCAUAACUGCAUUAUUUAACGUUUGCCGCGAUGCCCGCCACCUGACCUCGCACCAGGAUAGCGAGCAAAUUGCAACCUUAAAUGGACCGAGUCACGGUCAUGCUCGUCAAAUUUAUA